Thamnophis elegans (Western terrestrial garter snake) is the source of this 1133-nucleotide long non-coding RNA. RefSeq lists it as uncharacterized. The transcript is spliced from 3 exons. The record is from RefSeq and is a predicted model, not a curated record. Lineage: Eukaryota; Metazoa; Chordata; Lepidosauria; Squamata; Natricidae.
GUGAUUUAUUACUGGACACUCCUUGAAGAGUUUUCUGUGUUAAUUAAGAAUAAUGGGCUAAACGCAUAGGUUGAUGGCAAUGAAGAACACAAAAUUGAUCAAAUGGUAGAUUUCAAUAAUUAAAGAGUAAAGGCAAAAAAGCAAAAGACCUAUGGACAGGCAGACAUACCCAGAGAAUUUGGAACGAGGAGAAAGGAAAAAAGAUGUGCUGAUUUUUAAAAUCUGCAUUACUUACGGUAUCUCCACUAUAUUUCAUCAACAAACACCAUGCUAAGGAAUUUCAGAGUGAUAAAACAUUAAAAUACAAUCCAUCUUAUUGAUAUGUUAAAAUAAAUUGGACUGAGUCAUCAUCAACAACCAACUAAUUAGGAAUGCCUGGUGGCCUCAGAUUCCCUCACUCAAUGAAAUGGGGAACAACCAGCAGCUUUACCAGAAACAGGUAUAAUAUUGUACAUAGGUCAGUUCUGCUAGGGAAGCAGUUCUGCAAGUAAUUGGUGUGAAGUUGAAAGUCAUAAUAUUUAUACAUGCCAAGCCAGCAUUUUGAAUGCAUCUGGAAUUGCAGGGCCUGCAGCACCAGUAUUAUAUGCGCUUGGUGACUCAUAUCUGCCAGUAAGUAGGCUGCCACAUUCUGUUCCAACAGCAGUUUCUGAGUGAUUUUCAAAGGCAACCCUAUGUAGAAUGCCUUAUUUACAGUAAUUUGUAUGAUUAGUAAUGAGGUAUAAGUUACUGUUGGGAAGUCCCUGAAUUCCAAGUAAGAUUGCUGGCCAAAUGCUCACCUGGCCAGUCUCUCUAUGUGGCAAUGACCUUGGGCCACAGAGGGAAGAGCCAUUCAGAUAAGAAGCAGCUUUGUCUGCAGAAGGAAUGUGGGCAUGGCAUACUUCUUGGGCUGUAGACGAUGAUGGGGGAGAAAUGUAUUGCAAGAUAUUGUUAAUGUACCCUCACAAUAAACUAAAAUUAGUUCAUCUGGGCGUGCUUUCUGUCUUGCAAGACUACUCUAGGAGAAAUCCAAACACACUGCUCCUUCAUAGCAAAGGAGACUCAGAUCUUCUGAGCUGUUGUAAAACUCAGGCAUUAAUUUGUACUACAGUUUUAAAUAAAUGUCACAUAAAUUAAUAUUAAUCUAAUUUUAAUAC